CAUUAUUAAGGGUAGGUUGUGUUCAGAAACUUUAUUGUUAGGUAGUGCUCACGUAAGGUAGUACUAGCAAGUCUGGAAACUGUUAGCUUCACUAGACAACAGUAAGCCAUUAUGUUACACUAAGAACAGACUGAAACACUGAUGGCAUAAUGGGGCCACAGGGAGGGUGAACAGAUAACAGGACAUUGAAACCGUGUUAGAUUGCACGUAGCUCAUACUGAGGUAACUGAAUCUUAUCUCUUCUGGAACCAAUACUAUUAGAGAAUACCGCUUCUUACCAAAUAAGGAUGUAGCACUGGGAUGUGAGGGGCUAAAAGCUAGACAAAGAGAACAAUAGAUCAGAACGCCUUCUCCAGCUGGACAAAUGUCUAGCUGUAACCGAUUCUCUCUCGAAUAAAGCAGUCUGUUUCUUAGAAUCUGACCCGGUGUCUCAUUCCUCCGAAAAAGAACACGGGGACGGUUGAACCGUCUUAACAGAUGGUGACCCCUGACGUGCGGAGGGAACGGAGACACGCUUGUUGGCAGGGGUUGAGAGCCGCCGGGCGGCCGGCCAUUCUGAACUGGGUACGGGGACGCCUUUUGUAUAAAGGUCUCCAGUAGGCAUUGACCACUCUAAAUUAGUAGUUGUUCCGACGUCUCGAAUACCUUCGCCAACCUAAAUUGCAGACGUGAGUAGACGACAGAGAAUCGCUUGAUCUAAGUGUAAGCCCUUUAGGUGUGUUGGGCAUCCCGGAUAAGCCGGAGGUAUUGGACACGGUGAGUUCUUUUUAUUUGUUGUUUCUGUAGUAAGAAGAGUAAGUUCCCCAGGUGUGCGUGGAAAGAUCUCUGCAAUUUCAAAAGUCCUGGGUACGGUGAGUUAUUUAUUUUUGGUCUCUUAAGUUUAUAAAAGUGAAUCCUCUAGGUGUGCGUUAAAACAGCCUUGCAAUUUGAAAGUCCUAGAGUGGAUGAAUUCUCCAGGUGUGCGUGGGAAGAUCUCUGCAAUUUCAAAAGUCCUGGGGACAGUGAGUUAUUUAUUUUUGGUCUCUUAAGUUUAUAAAAGUGAAUCCUCUAGGUGUGCGUUAAAACAGCCCUGCAAUUUGAAAGUCCUAGGGUGGAUGAAUUCUCCAGGUGUGCGUUAAAACAUCCCUGCAAUUUAAAAUUCCUGGAGACGGUGAGGCAUAUGUUUGUAGCCUCCUAUUGUUAGACAAGGGAACCGUCUAGGUGUGCUUUGGAACAUCACUGCAGAUUGAAAGUCCUAGAAUCGGUGAGUACUAUUCUUUCAUUCGUUUUCUCUCCUGGUGGUGAGUCGGUGAUUUCUCCAGGUGUGCGUGGAAACAGCUCUGCAAUUUCAAAAUCCUGGAGGUAGGAGGCGAGGCGAUUGUGGCUUACGGACCGCACGGCUCCCGGAACGGGAGUUUGGUCGGGGGAUAGUGUAAGACACGGGUACUGGGGUUACGGGAGUAUAAACCCACGCGCUGACGGACUUGGGGACUGGGAAGCUUCCACUGCGCUGACAUAAUAACGGACGCAACGGUACGAGGGGACAGAGAAAGACAGAGUUCCGGACAGAGCGACUGUGUGUGUGUGAGAGGGAGUCUGUUUAUGAGAAAGAUAGAGUCUCUGGGUGUGUAAAAAUCUGUGUGUGUAUAAGUAUUUCUGUGUUUGUAAAAGUCUGUAUUGUUGCCCAAAGAGAGAGAAAAAGCUAUUGCUGCGUGCGUCAGCGGUGUGUCUGUGUAAGAGAGAGAGACUGGCUGAAAGCUUCUCUGCUAACAGGCAGUUUAACACUUUGUGCUCUGGCUUGAGUUCAUCUGUUUGAUAGUGAUUGAAUGUUUAAGUCUUGUCACCUAGGGCGAUGCUUGUGACACAUACGAUCGACCAUGCCCUGACGGGAAAGGAUAACCCCCCACCCGCAUACCAGGCAGCGGGGCUGGAGGAGCCUGUGAUGGGGGCACCCGAUGGAAAGAUUACGGGAUCGGUAUCAGAGGGAAUGGAGGAGAUAUGCCUGCGAGGGAAGCACGGGACAACUUAUGAUUUUACUUUAUAACUGUAUCUCUCAUUUCUAAUCCUUCCCAUAUUAGGGCCUCAGAAUGUGAGGGCUGAGGUGCAGAGACCCCCUAGUAGUGUAUUUUUUCUCUCUCUUUCCCGUUCAAAUUGACAACAGGUAAAUUUGUGCUUUUAUGCUGCAGUUAGAGAUUGUGAAGUGCUAUAUGCCUCGAGACUCAAGAGACUAUUGUUCACUCAAGAGAUUUCCUAGCCAUCAUUUGGUAUUCCUAAAUGGCUUCGAUUGGUCUCGACGGCCACUGUUCACAAUAAUAAGCCAGUUACCACUGCCCGUGUCCGUACUUGACAGCUGUAAAAUGGAUGUGGGUUUUUAUUGGUCAAGUGAAGGUGACUGGUUAGCCAAUGACGGGUAAGAUUCCUCGAGUGAGGGACAACCUAAGACAGGCACAGUCGUGCAUUGACCUUCAGAAUAAUGGCCUGUGGUCAUGUGGUUUUAGCAGAUGCCUGGCUUUUGUAUCCGUGUCGGGAAUCUGGUCAAGUUUCUGGCUUGCAAAGCAGCUUGAUAUAAGGAAAAUCGUGUGCCCAGCAGUUUGACAUUGUAUUCACUGUAUUUUUGACGAAGGAAAAUGCCAGUUUUGUGUCAUUUUCCAGAACCGACUUAACAACAACCCUUGAGGAAGGAAGGAGAGCUCAUUGAAUCCUAUUGCAAAAAGAUUUGACACUAUGUCAGUAGUUUGAAAUUUUAUUUUAAGGUGUCAUAGUAUAAUACGACCGACUUUACUGGGAGGUUGUACAAUUGGGUGUUCUUUGAACAGCAGAGCUUCAUUCUGCAGGUGUCCUAACUCAUCCACUUUGUGUUUUCCUCUGGUUCUCUUAGCUUUUGUUAUCAUACUCAGUAAUCGUUUUGUUGGUUUUGAGGUGGCUUUUUGUAUAUGUUUACAACUUUUAAGUGCUUACAUCUGUUAUGUAUUAUUUCACUGCUUCUUGUGCCUUAACGAUUGUAUGCGAACUGGAGAGGCGCAUAGAGUAGGGAUUUUGCAUCGCGGAAUGCUUUCUGUAGUUGUAUGCUGCUUAGGGACUCCUCUCCACUAUAACUAUGUCUCCCUAGAGUCAGACAAGCCCGGUUGAGCCAAUUGGUCGGCCUUGCAGAGGAGCGAUGGAGGGGCGCUCACCGACCAUCCGGGUCCUGACUGCUGCGCGCGAACUGCUGUAUUUUGUGUGGCCUCUUUCGAGGCCAAGGGAGGGAGUGUUAGGAAGCAUUAUUAAGGGUAGGUUGUGUUCAGAAACUUUAUUGUUAGGUAGUGCUCACGUAAGGUAGUACUAGCAAGUCUGGAAACUGUUAGCUUCACUAGACAACAGUAAGCCAUUAUGUUACACUAAGAACAGACUGAAACACUGAUGGCAUAAUGGGGCCACAGGGAGGGUGAACAGAUAACAGGACAUUGAAACCGUGUUAGAUUGCACGUAGCUCAUACUGAGGUAACUGAAUCUUAUCUCUUCUGGAACCAAUACUAUUAGAGAAUACCGCUUCUUACCAAAUAAGGAUGUAGCACUGGGAUGUGAGGGGCUAAAAGCUAGACAAAGAGAACAAUAGAUCAGAACGCCUUCUCCAGCUGGACAAAUGUCUAGCUGUAACCGAUUCUCUCUCGAAUAAAGCAGUCUGUUUCUUAGAA
Molecule: long non-coding RNA, 3653 nt
Organism: Hemiscyllium ocellatum (epaulette shark)
Lineage: Eukaryota; Metazoa; Chordata; Chondrichthyes; Orectolobiformes; Hemiscylliidae
Exons: 2
Source: RefSeq, a predicted model, not a curated record